UCCAUGGCUGAAGAUUUGCUUGCAAGGUCUACGAACGGUCAGUAAUCUGACAGUAAUACCUUGGGGAAAGUCUCCUGCCUUUAUGCGGAAACGCAAUGGAUAAUAGACUCCAUUUGGAUUUCAUGCAAAAGUUGUGGUGGUAUAUUGCCAUGAUGUUUGGCUUCAGUUGUUCCUCUGAACUCUGGAGCCAAUUCACAUCCUGGGGCCAACGAUAUGUCACUAACUGCUUUUGGGUGGCGUUCAAUAUUCCCAGCUGGAUUCCAGUUGGUGAUCACUUCGGCAACGGGAAUAUGUUUCCUAAACGAUAGUUAUAGCAAAUGAUUUUGUUAAAACUUGAUUAACACAAUGGAGCUUACUUCAAUCCAUGG
This 368-nucleotide RNase MRP RNA is filed under the name Millerozyma farinosa CBS 7064. Its description in RNAcentral is "RNase MRP". It matches the Rfam family "RNase MRP". Rfam says of the family: RNase MRP is an enzymatically active ribonucleoprotein with two distinct roles in eukaryotes. In mitochondria it plays a direct role in the initiation of mitochondrial DNA replication. In the nucleus it is involved in precursor rRNA processing, where it cleaves the internal transcribed spacer 1 between 18S and 5.8S rRNAs. The record is from Rfam by way of RNAcentral. Lineage: Eukaryota; Fungi; Ascomycota; Pichiomycetes; Serinales; Debaryomycetaceae.